Molecule: long non-coding RNA, 717 nt
Organism: Cervus elaphus (red deer)
Lineage: Eukaryota; Metazoa; Chordata; Mammalia; Artiodactyla; Cervidae
Exons: 2
Source: RefSeq, a predicted model, not a curated record
GCAACCCACUCCAGUAUUCUUGCCUGGGAAACCCCAUGGACGGAGGAGCCUGGCAGAGUACAGUCCGUGGGGUCACAAAUGAGUCAGACACAAGUUAGUGACUGAACAACCAGGCCAGAAGGCAGAAGAACAGCUGUAACACUACAGUUUGAAGUGCACCCCCAGGAUUGCAGCAAACUUCAUGAAGCCGUCCACCCAGGCAGUACCUGCCAGUCUGUUCUCCUGACUCUGGUCUUCACCCCAGCAUGGCCACCAGCUGCCUCCACACCAUUGUGGCAGCAUAGAAAACCACCCUGGGUCUUUUAGAGCAGACUUUUUGUUGCACUUAUUUCUAAUUAAAAAGAAAACAAUCUUUAUAUUUAAAAUGGAUAACCAACAAGGGCCUACUGUAUAGAACAUGGAACUCUGUAUGGGAGGGGAGUUUGGGGGAGAAUGGAUACAUGUAUAUAUACGGCUGAGUUACUCUGCGGUGCCCCUGAAACAAUCACAUUAUUAAUCGGCUAUAUUUCAUUAUCAGAUAAAACAUUUUUUAAAUUUAGAUUUUGAAAGUCUCUGGGAAAAGUUAACCUUGAUGACAUGUGAAGCUUUCUCUUAUUUGUUUGAAAAACUGGAUUCACCCUUAUUGUCCACCUUCCCCUACUUCAGCUUCAUUCUGGAACCCACUGUGAUCUACAAAUAAGGACUAAAAAGCAUGAAUAAAAGACCAUGAGCAUCAAA